This is a long non-coding RNA of Bubalus bubalis (water buffalo), 1015 nucleotides long. RefSeq lists it as uncharacterized. NCBI's taxonomy places the organism in Eukaryota, Metazoa, Chordata, Mammalia, Artiodactyla, Bovidae. The transcript is spliced from 2 exons. The record is from RefSeq and is a predicted model, not a curated record.
UGAUGGACAGGGAGGCCUGGCGUGCUGCGAUUCUCGGGGUCGCAAAGAGUUGGACACGACUUAGGGACUGAACUGAACUGAACUGAUCAUUAAUCUUAAGCGCAUAUAUCUGAUCUAUUGUAAAAUAGCCAAGGGGCAUGAAAAAGGGUGGUGACUUAAUCUAAGGAUCAAGAAAAGCCAUAGAAUUGUUAAGCAUCUUGACCUUUAAAGUGAUUGGUUAGAAACAGAGUAUCUUAAGGACAGGAGCCAACCAAAAAUGUACAGAUUAAGGAUAUAAAAACUGCUCUAAGUCCUGACUUAAGGGGAUUCUUUACCUCCUCUCAAUGUCUAUGCAGAGAACUUUGUGCUUUCCUUCUCUUUAAUAAAUCCUAUUUGCUUGCUACCAUGGGUGUUUGCAUGUUCAUGAAGUUCAUUCUUCAGCUCUGUGAACAAGAACUCAGAUUCCUGUUUUACUACUAGCAGCCAGUGAGCGCCUGAGACCAGCCAACAAACACAUGAAUGACCUUGGAUGCACCUUCUUCAGUCCAAGUGCAGCCAUUACUUGACUGCAUCCCUGGAUGAUGGCUUGACUUGCAAUCACACAAGGGCUUCUCAGCUAUAACCCCCAGCUGACCCACCCUGGAAUUGCUGACUCACAGAAAUUGGGAGAAAGUUAAACUGCAUUUACUGCCAGAUUGGAAGGGAAGAUUAUUACCAUAAGAAGUGCACAGAGAAUUUAUGAGAGAAUUCCUGGAGGGUCAAAGAGCUUUUUCAAAUCUUUGUAAGAGGUAGGAGUAAGUCAGUCUCUUGGAUUCAUCCUCUGUUCAGAAACUAUUUGAAUACUUCUUUAUCCUUGUAAGUUGAAUCCAAAAGGACUUACCUUGCAAGGCUUAUGACAAAUUCAUCUCUGACUGACGGAUCAGAGAAGCGGGAUAAAUAAUGGAUGAAAAGAUCAAGGAUUUCAAAUAUGGAAACAGUGCUACAUGAUGAUUACAAGUAAUUCAUUAAUUCAUUCAAUAAAGAUUUAUUGAUCUGC